UGUUCCCUGUCAGUUUGUGAGCACCAGAAGCCAUCGAAUUCCCUCGUGCACCUAAUCCUUAGGCGCCUGAAGGAUGUGAUCUAGCUUCCUGUUCCCGCUGCUAUGCCUUCCUGGCCACGAUGGAAUUUCCUCCCUGGGAACUUCAAGAUACAAUAAUUCCUUUUCUUCUCGAGACUGCUUUUGGUCAUGGUAUUAUCGUAGCAUCAGAAAAGUAACUAUGGCGAGAGUCAUCUGAGAAGAGAAAACCUCAGCUGAAAACCCGUCUCCGCUGGGUGUGGUGGCGCACGCCGGUGAUCCAAGCACUCGGGGAGGCAGCGGCAGGCGGAUCUCUGAGUUUGAGGUCAACCAGGUCUAUAAAGAGGAUCCAAGACAGCCAAGGCUACACCAAGAGACCCUGUUUUGGAAAGGAAACAAACGAAAGAAAGAAAGAAGGAAAGAAAGAAGGAAAGAAGGAAAGAAAGAAAGAAAGAAGGAAAGAAAGAAAGAAAGAAAGAAGGAAAGAAGGAGAGAUCUCCCUACGGUGGGCUUGUAGGCAAUCCUGUGGCAAAGUGUCUUGCGUGCUGGCAGCUCUGUGAGAGCCCAGCCCAGCGUGGGUGGCGCCUUCACGGGGCAGGUGCUCCUGGGGUGUAUAAUCCGGUAGUGGGCAUUCCUCCAGGAUAACAGCCUCUGCUCCUUCCUCCGAGUUGCUGCCUUAGCUUCUCCAUGAUGAACUGUGGGAAGCCGUGUAGACUCUUUCCUCCUUGUGGUGCUUUUACAUGUGGUAUUUAUCACAGCAGUAGAAAUACCAACUAAAGCACAGGAAAAAAAAUCAAGCUUUCCCAUGAGUGGAAAGGGGCAGGCAUUUUAGAAUAUGUAAGUUUCGUAUUCUAGAAGAAAAGCCAAGAGAAGAGAUGGCUGUUCACAGCACAGGUGAGACAGGAGGCCUCACGCCCAGCAUGGCUGCGCUAUGGCAGUUCAAUACAACACCCUUGGCCUGCACCUUCCCAUUAGCCCUUUACCACGCACUUUUUUUUUCUUGUAUAAACUAGACUAUGAGCCCCUUGAGAGGAAAGAACAAGCAUGAAUAACUUAUCCUUUGCAAUGUGUA
Meriones unguiculatus (Mongolian gerbil) is the source of this 1087-nucleotide long non-coding RNA. RefSeq lists it as uncharacterized. NCBI's taxonomy places the organism in Eukaryota, Metazoa, Chordata, Mammalia, Rodentia, Muridae. The record is from RefSeq and is a predicted model, not a curated record. The transcript has 3 exons.